Molecule: non-coding RNA, 205 nt
Organism: Nelumbo nucifera (sacred lotus)
Lineage: Eukaryota; Viridiplantae; Streptophyta; Magnoliopsida; Proteales; Nelumbonaceae
Source: RefSeq, a predicted model, not a curated record
GAUUGAACUCAAGGGGAAUAGGGGAUUUUCUCACCAAACUCUACUCUACUCUGUUGUUGGCUUGUGGCUUCUUCAUCCAAAGGAGGGACUGAUGAAACCGUAUAGGUGAAGAAUCCAUUGUUGGAGGGAUCAACAAACUCCCCGGUGUAUAGAGCAAGCAAUUUGCGUUGAGUAAGAUGUUUCGAAAGAGCUACAGAGAGCAAAA